Cyprinus carpio carpio is the source of this 300-nucleotide long non-coding RNA. The record is from Ensembl. NCBI's taxonomy places the organism in Eukaryota, Metazoa, Chordata, Actinopteri, Cypriniformes, Cyprinidae.
CUGCUGCCCUACACAGUUUCACACACUGGCACACGGCCCACAAAGCCACAAAUCUGCCUGCAGCAUUAUCGGGUAUUUUAAAAACCCUUACAGGUCUCAAGAGGAGCAAGAGAAGGCUGACGGUUAUUGACUCAACAUGCUUUCUUGAAAUUUCAUUGCUCUACUUUGGCUCAAAUCUAUCAAUACAGGUCUCCCAGAUCUCACUGACAGAUAUCAGACAAGAUGUUCUUUGUGAAGAGGAGUCACACAACAAAGGGUGAUUUAUAAGACAUUGUGGGGAAAUGGUCUAAAGGUAAAAAA